AUUGAACGCUGGCGGAAUGCUUUACACAUGCAAGUCGAACGGCAGCACGGGGGCAACCCUGGUGGCGAGUGGCGAACGGGUGAGUAAUACAUCGGAACGUGCCCGGUCGUGGGGGAUAACGUAGCGAAAGUUACGCUAAUACCGCAUACGAUCUGAGGAUGAAAGCGGGGGACCUUCGGGCCUCGCGCGAUCGGAGCGGCCGAUGUCAGAUUAGGUAGUUGGUGGGGUAAAGGCCUACCAAGCCGACGAUCUGUAGCUGGUCUGAGAGGACGACCAGCCACACUGGGACUGAGAAACGGCCCAGACUCCUACGGGAGGCAGCAGUGGGGAAUUUUGGACAAUGGGCGCAAGCCUGAUCCAGCCAUUCCGCGUGCAGGACGAAGGCCUUCGGGUUGUAAACUGCUUUUGUAUGGAACGAAAAGGCUCUGGCUAAUACCUGGGGCUCAUGACGGUACCGUAAGAAUAAGCACCGGCUAACUACGUG
This 484-nucleotide ribosomal RNA is filed under the name uncultured bacterium. RNAcentral describes it as "partial 16S ribosomal RNA". It matches the Rfam family "Bacterial small subunit ribosomal RNA", at positions 30 to 507 of the family's 1533-position model. The record is from RNAcentral.